UGAGGAAUAUUGGUCAAUGGGCGGGAGCCUGAACCAGCCAAGCCGCGUGAGGGAAGAAGGUACAGCGUAUCGUAAACCUCUUUUGUCAGGGAACAAAGGCGGGGACUAGUCCCCGGAUGAAGGUACCUGAAGAAAAAGCAUCGGCUAACUCCGUGCCAGCAGCCGCGGUAAUACGGAGGAUGCGAGCGUUAUCCGGAUUUAUUGGGUUUAAAGGGUGCGCAGGCGGCCUGUUAAGUCAGCGGUAAAAGCCCGGGGCUCAACCCCGGCAAGCCGUUGAAACUGGCGGGCUGGAGUUGGAGAGAAGUACGCGGAAUGCGCGGUGUAGCGGUGAAAUGCUUAGAUAUCGCGCAGAACCCCGAUUGCGAAGGCAGCGUACCGGCUCCACACUGACGCUGAGGCACGAAAGCGUGGGUAUCGAACAG
This 422-nucleotide ribosomal RNA is filed under the name uncultured bacterium. RNAcentral describes it as "bacterial SSU rRNA". It matches the Rfam family "Bacterial small subunit ribosomal RNA", at positions 355 to 775 of the family's 1533-position model. The record is from RNAcentral.